GAUGAACGCUGGCGGCGUGCCUAAUACAUGCAAGUCGAGCGGAAAGGCCUCUUCGGAGGUACUCGAGCGGCGGACGGCUGAGUAACACGUAGGAACAUACCCUAAAGUGAGAGAUAACUGCUCGAAAGAGUAGCUAAUACCGCAUGUGGUCUUCGGAUUAAAGCUUCGGCGCUUUGGGAAUGGCCUGCGUCUGAUUAGCUAGAUGGUGAGGUAAUGGCUCACCAUGGCGACGAUCAGUAGCUGGUCUGAGAGGAUGAUCAGCCAGACAGGGACUGAGACACGGCCCAGACUCCUACGGGAGGCAGCAGUAGGGAAUUUUCCACAAUGGGCGAAAGCCUGAUGGAGCAACGCCGCGUGCAGGAUGAAUGCCUUCGGGUUGUAAACUGCUUUUAUAUGUGACGAAUAUGACGGUAGCAUAUGAAUAAGGAUCGGCUAACUCCGUGCCAGCAGCCGCCGUAA
Molecule: ribosomal RNA, 459 nt
Filed under: uncultured bacterium
Lineage: Bacteria
Description: partial 16S ribosomal RNA
Rfam family: Bacterial small subunit ribosomal RNA
Source: RNAcentral